This 888-nucleotide ribosomal RNA is filed under the name uncultured bacterium. RNAcentral describes it as "bacterial SSU rRNA". It matches the Rfam family "Bacterial small subunit ribosomal RNA", at positions 509 to 1397 of the family's 1533-position model. The record is from RNAcentral.
GUGCAGCGCGCGUAUACGUAGGGUGCGGGCGUGUCCGGAAUUACUGGGCGUAAAGGGCUCGUAGGUGGUUUGUCGCGUCGUCUGUGAAAUUCCGGGGCUUAACUCCGGGCGUGCAGGCGAUACGGGCAUAACUUGAGUACUGUAGGGGUAACUGGAAUUCCUGGUGUAGCGGUGAAAUGCGCAGAUAUCAGGAGGAACACCGAUGGCGAAGGCAGGUUACUGGGCAGUUACUGACGCUGAGGAGCGAAAGCAUGGGUAGCGAACAGGAUUAGAUACCCUGGUAGUCCAUGCCGUAAACGGUGGGCGCUAGGUGUGAGGGUCUUUUCACGACUUUCGUGCCGUAGCUAACGCAUUAAGCGCCCCGCCUGGGGAGUACGGCCGCAAGGCUAAAACUCAAAGGAAUUGACGGGGGCCCGCACAAGCGGCGGAGCAUGUGGAUUAAUUCGAUGCAACGCGAAGAACCUUACCUGGGCUUGACAUACACCGGAUCGGGCUAGAGAUAGUCUUUCCCUUUGUGGCUGGUGUACAGGUGGUGCAUGGUUGUCGUCAGCUCGUGUCGUGAGAUGUUGGGUUAAGUCCCGCAACGAGCGCAACCCUUGUCUUAUGUUGCCAGCAUUUGGUUGGGGACUCAUGAGAGACUGCCGGGGUCAACUCGGAGGAAGGUGGGGAUGACGUCAAAUCAUCAUGCCCCUUAUGUCCAGGGCUUCACACAUGCUACAAUGGUCGGUACAACGCGCAGCGACAAUGUGAGGUGGAGCGAAUCGCUGAAAGUCGGCCUUAGUUCGGAUUGGGGUCUGCAACUCGACCCCAUGAAGUCGGAGUCGCUAGUAAUCGCAGAUCAGCAAUGCCGCGGUGAAUACGUUCCCGGGUCUUGCACUCACCGCCCGU